RNAcentral lists this long non-coding RNA (261 nucleotides) under Lathyrus oleraceus (garden pea). Its description in RNAcentral is "Pisum sativum (pea) long non-coding RNA (PSAT_LNC005225)". The record is from RNAcentral. Lineage: Eukaryota; Viridiplantae; Streptophyta; Magnoliopsida; Fabales; Fabaceae.
UUUUUAUAGCUAUAGUGUAAAAUUGACAAUGUCAACUUUGAACAAGUUUCCGAUAACGGCCAACGAAAUUGAAUUUGACGAGUUAAUAUAUUGUUGGAAUCAUAAUUUCAUAAAGAAAUCUAAUAUAUGCUGCAAAUUGUGAAAUAAGCUACGAAUUACAAUGAAAAAUAACAAAAGUGGAUGAUAUUCGAUUAAAGAAUGUGCCGAGUCGACUAAACUAUGCAUCGGAAUGUAAAACUAAUUAUAUAUUCACGAUCAGCG